GAACCUUACCUGGUCUUGACAUCCUGGGAACCCUGAAGAGAUUUAGGGGUGCCGCAAGGAGCCCAGAGACAGGUGCUGCAUGGCUGUCGUCAGCUCGUGUUGUGAGAUGUUGGGUUAAGUCCCGCAACGAGCGCAACCCUUGUCCUUAGUUGCCAGCAUUAAGUUGGGCACUCUAAGGAGACCGCCGGUGACAAACCGGAGGAAGGUGGGGAUGACGUCAAGUCAUCAUGGCCUUUAUGACCAGGGCUACACACGUGCUACAAUGGUAGAUACAGAGGGUUGCCAACGCGCAAGCGGGAGCCAAUCCCAGAAAAUCUAUCGUAGUCCGGAUUGGAGUCUGCAACUCGACUCCAUGAAGUCGGAAUCGCUAGUAAUCGCAGAUCAGCAUUGCUGCUGUGAAUACGUUCCCGGGCCUUGUCACACCGA
RNAcentral lists this ribosomal RNA (426 nucleotides) under uncultured soil bacterium. RNAcentral's name for it is "bacterial SSU rRNA". It matches the Rfam family "Bacterial small subunit ribosomal RNA", at positions 966 to 1393 of the family's 1533-position model. The record is from RNAcentral.